This is a non-coding RNA of Cucurbita pepo subsp. pepo (vegetable marrow), 510 nucleotides long. Lineage: Eukaryota; Viridiplantae; Streptophyta; Magnoliopsida; Cucurbitales; Cucurbitaceae. The record is from RefSeq and is a predicted model, not a curated record.
UUUUGAGGAUUCAUUCCUAUCAGUGAGAGCUCUUGUGAAACCGUCAUUUCUUUUGGUACAAGUUCCAAGGGACGAAGUCCAAGAUUGGUGUUCUUUAUUGAGGACUCUACGAAGGGACAACACCCAUCUUUGAGGCAUGCACAUCUGUACCAAUUUCACAAGACCAAUCCUGUUCAAUUAUUCUGACUAUUUCAAGAUUUAUCUCUUCUUGCAACCAGGAGCAGAUUCGUUUAGCACCUGAAAAAUUCGCCUCUGUUUGCAAGAGGUUCAAAGAUCAAGUUAUGCUUGAGGCUCCAAUUAGAGGGGUAGCUCCACUUCAUACUGCCAUUAGAAAACUCCAGACCUCUUCAGAACAUUUAACCAGUUUACAUCCGGAUUUUCUUCUUCUCUGCUUAUUAGCCAAGUGCUAUAAAACUGGCAGAUCCAUACUGGAUAAUGAUAUUCUCGAGGUUGAUCAACCAAGAGACCUGUUUCUUUAUUGUUAUUACGGGUGAGUUGCUUUUCUUCUUC